ACGGCUCAGUAACACGUGGACAAUUUACCCUUGGGACCAGGAUAACCCCUGGGAAACUGGGGCUAAUACUGGAUGGAGCAUCGGCUGCUGGAAUGCGCGAUGCUCGAAAGCUGAGGCGCCCAAGGAUAGGUCUGCGGCUGAUUAGGUUGUUGUUGAUGUAACGGAUCAACAAGCCCGCGAUCGGUACGGGUUGUGAGAGCAAUAGCCCGGAGAUGGGUUCUGAGAAAAGAACCCAGGUCCUACGGGACGCAUCAGGCGCGAAAACUUUACAAUGUGCGAAAGCGCGAUAAGGGAACUCUGAGUGCCUCCUAAGGAGGCUGUUCAGGUGUCUAAAAAGCAUCUGGAGUAAGGGCUGGGCAAGACCGGUGCCAGCCGCCGCGGUAACACCGGCAGCUCAAGUGGUAGCCAUGCUUAUUGGGUCUAAAGCGUCCGUAGCCGGCUGAGUAAGUUCCUUGGGAAAUUUGACCGCUUAACGGUUAAGCUAUCAGGGAAUACUGCUUGGCUUGGGACCGGGAGAGGUCAGAGGUACUCCAGGGGUAGGGGUGAAAUCUAUUAAUCCUUGGGGGACCACCGGUAGCGAAGGCGUCUGACCAGACCGGGUCCGACGGUGAGGGACGAAGGCUGGGGUCGCGAACCGGAUUAGAUACCCGGGUAGUCCCAGCUGUAAACGAUGCGGGCCAGGUGUUGGCAUUACUGCGAGUGAUGUCAGUGCCAAAGGGAAGCCGUUAAGCCCGCCAUCUGGGGAGUACGGUGCGCAAGGCUGAAACUUAAAGAAAUUGGCGGGGGAGCACCACAACGGGUGGAGC
Molecule: ribosomal RNA, 806 nt
Filed under: uncultured archaeon
Lineage: Archaea
Description: bacterial SSU rRNA
Rfam family: Archaeal small subunit ribosomal RNA
Source: RNAcentral